Molecule: long non-coding RNA, 795 nt
Organism: Benincasa hispida (wax gourd)
Lineage: Eukaryota; Viridiplantae; Streptophyta; Magnoliopsida; Cucurbitales; Cucurbitaceae
Source: RefSeq, a predicted model, not a curated record
GAGAACGCUGACCUUGUGUUGUUUUGAUUGUUGUUUUGACUCCUCUGUGAGCAAUGCAGCAUAGGUGCACUAAGAGUGAAAAAUGCCUGCCUUAACUUCUGGAGAGCCUGCGAGCAACAGAGUCCUGACUGGUAUUCACGAUUCCUGCAACAAGUAAAGCAAGAAUUUUAGGGUGUGAAGGAGAAACUCAGUUAUUAUAUGCACUGGAAAAACGGAUUUUGAAUGCUGGUGGAUCCAUUCCUGUCGACUUGGGCUUCUAAACUGACAGAAUCCAUGGAAACCAAGAUUUUCCAUUCGUUCUUGUGGAGUCUCCUUUCACUUGUUCUCUAGGUUCGUAAAUUGACUGUUACUUGUGCUUGUACAAAUUCAAAACCUUUUCCCUUUUCACUCAGAAUGUCAUUGUUUUCUACAGCUGAUUUCGACUUUCGAUUCUUCGUGUCUGUUUAAGCCUAACUGUUUGUAUUGCAUGGAGUCCUAGAAGAUUUUCUGGGUGCUUUCAAAGAAGCAAAUACUCUCUUAUAUAUCUUUGUUCCCUUCGUAUUCUGCUAAUCAAAUCAUGCCUGAUAACAUUGUGGGUUUAAUUUGAACUUAUCUUGGAUUUUCACUCUAUUUGGAACAAGCAAAUGCAACCAAUGGACAGAGUAGGCAGUGCAAUGGAUUAAGAACAACAUGAAGCUUAGAUGAUGAGAUAAAUUGAUACAGGGAUAGUUCCAAUCUAUUGUUUGUUGCUUUCUACGUACCAUGAAAUGGUCACUUUUCUAAUACAAAUGCCCCUAUAGUUUUCAUCUUUGUUGA